UACAGAGGCCUCGAGCGUUAGGCGGAAUCACUGGGCUUAAAGCGUGUGUAGGCGGAUCGGUAAGUACCUUGUGAAAUCCCACGGCUUAACUGUGGAACUGCUGGGUAUACUGCCAGACUUGAGCCACUCAGGGGCUACCGGAACAAAUGGUGGAGCGGUGAAAUGCGUAGAUAUCAUUUGGAACGCCAACGGUGAAAACAGGUCGCUGGGGCUGUGCUGACGCUGAGACACGAAAGCCAGGGGAGCGAACGGG
This 253-nucleotide ribosomal RNA is filed under the name uncultured bacterium. RNAcentral describes it as "partial 16S ribosomal RNA". It matches the Rfam family "Bacterial small subunit ribosomal RNA", at positions 524 to 776 of the family's 1533-position model. The record is from RNAcentral.